This is a non-coding RNA of Hypholoma sublateritium FD-334 SS-4, 91 nucleotides long. Lineage: Eukaryota; Fungi; Basidiomycota; Agaricomycetes; Agaricales; Strophariaceae. The record is from Rfam.
GCAUUAAUGGGGUAGUGGUAACCUGGGUCGUUGCCAUCUGAGUUUGAGCUAUAAACUCGACCCGCCGGGGGUUCGAUUCCCUCUUAAUGCA